Non-coding RNA from Triticum urartu, 2678 nucleotides. The record is from RefSeq and is a predicted model, not a curated record. NCBI's taxonomy places the organism in Eukaryota, Viridiplantae, Streptophyta, Magnoliopsida, Poales, Poaceae.
UUAACCAACGAAAAAAGACAUACGAAAGUUAACCAGCGAUAGAAAAAACCUAAACCUAUCGCCCGCUCGCUCGCGCCCCUGUUGCUCCCUCCUCGAUCCCGAUCUGGAUCGAGGGGACGAGGAGCUCCUGCCUCCCCGACGGCCGGCCUCCUCCUCGCCCCGCCGCUGCGUCCGGCGCCGCGACGGCCUCUGGAGCCAGGGAAGCCAUGACCUGAGCUCGGCCUCGAGGUCCCCGCCGCCGUCUCCUACAGUUUCUGCCCCGCCGCCUCGCCGUCGCACCAACCUCAGCGUCGCGCCGCCGCCGGCUCUGGUCGCCUCCACCUCCGCUCCAGGCAACCCUCGGUCGCCGGCUCGCUGGAGCACGACGGCAGACGAUGGAUGCCCUGGUUGUGUGCGACGGAUGCAGUUCUCACGCGCAAGCUAGGGUUGGAGCCGCCAGCUCUUCAUCCUGCCCGCCGGCGGCGACUCUUCCCGCCCCGCACUCCCGCCUCCCCAUUAUCAUAGGGUACAUUUAUGUUUCAUGAUCUGUUCUGCAGAUUUUCAAAACACUGAGUGCAUAUCUUGCCUUGCAAUGCUGCUGAUUCGACAAUCGAACUGGAUUCAAACUGGACUUGCGACCAGAGCAACCCCAAGCAAGAUGAACUCGAUUGGAAGAUGUCUUCUAAACUCUGAAGGCAAGCACUCGGCCGACACUUUUGCUCUUGUAGAAGGCAUGCCAUUUGAUUCAUGCCAAGAAGCGUACGGACAAUAUAAGCUAUUUGCUUUGGAGGAUGGUUUUGGAAUUCAUCAUGGAAAGCCGAGAUGAGGGCAUGCACGUUACCAGUUGACGCACAAAAUUGUGUGCUGGUGCUAGAUCAGUUACAUAGCGUCUUGCUUGAAAUUGUAGUACAACUAUAUUCUUGUCGUUUCCCCAGCCACUCCAUGAUGGUCUUGCGCUUGAAUUUUUUCCAUGCUUUGAAAUUGCUUGGUAUUUAUAUUGUAGCUAGCAUUGUCAUUGUCUUGUUUGGUUUUCGGUGUGCAGGUUAAGAGGGACAAUGAUAAUUCUUCUUCGUGCAAAACAGAACGAAGGCGAGGAUGCGUCUCCUCCAUGCAAAGCAGGUUGGUAUGUGAGCAUAUUUAGCAACGAGCAAAAUCACCCUCUGUCUGCAAUUUGUGAAGAGAAGAGGCAGUGGAACUCACACAGUGAGAUCAAUCCAGUUCUUAUGAUUUUCAUCAAGAAUCUCAAAGCACCUCAUCAAUUUUUGCAAACAGAAACCAAUGAAAAAACAAUUGGGGGCAUCUCGAGAUUGAAGAUUGUGAAAUUUACACAAGCGAGAUAUACAAAAAGUUUGAAGAUGAGUUCUUCAAAUCAAUGUCCUUGGUUGUGUCUAGGUGCAUCAGUGAAACUGGAUGCGAAAUUAAGUGUGCGCGUCCAGAAUAUUUUCAGGCAUAUGGGAAUGUUGUGCAAACAUUUUGUUGGUUUCAGACAAUUGAAAGCAGUGCUACAGUCCAAAUUUUGCCAAGAGAAAGGAGUUUAGGGAAGACGACAGAGGAGGAAUAUGAUGUUGCCCCAACCCCAGGUACUACCUUUACACCCGUAUCCACUUUUGGACAAAAUCGGGAUCUAGAGUUCAUGAAGAGCGCGACUGAAUUUAAAAAGGUCCGUGCGUAUUCUUGGUACCUCGAGGAUGAGAACAAGCCACCCAAAAAAUGGCCAGAAGGAAGCACCAUAUGUGCAGGUGUGUUCAUGUGCGUUAGAAGGUAAGUUUGUGCUUCUAAUUUCCUAAACAUUCCUAUUACAAACAGAAAACAUCUAUGGUUGGUGAUAAUAAUUAUUGGUGAACAUUGUUAUUGGUAAACCUACAUGCUGUCGAUCUGCCUCUUCUUCCUGUUGCAAUUAUUGAUGGCCAUUAUUAUUGCAAUUUUAUCCUAAUUUAUGUUCAGCUAUUACCAGGUUCUUUGAUUGAAUCCUAAUUCAAACUUCUAACAUACGCAAUACUUUUUGUGCAAUUAUAAGAUGAUGCAUACUCUGACAGUGCUUUGGCCACAUAAAAGGUAAAUCCAUCAUUGUGGAGAUGUCAAAGUUGUCACAAAGACAAGCAUCUGAACUUUCUUUUUGGAAUGAAACAAAGAUGCAGACUAACCGUAUCAUGUUUUUUUUGACAUCAACCAAUAUCAUGAGUUGGUUCAGGACUUCAGGUAUAUAUCACUAGUAUAACAAUCAAUUAACCAUAGCAAUUGUUACUUUUUUUAUCUACUCUCAAAUGCUUCUCUAUUUUAAAUACCUAUUAAAUGUUGUCACAAUCACCCUAUUUCCGCCGCACUAAGGGCUAUGGCAGGAAGGAGCCCACCGUCGGCAUCGCCCAUGGCCGAGAAGACCGAGGACGCCGAGGACCCAGCGCCCUCAAGUACGAUGGUGUUCUUUCUGUUAUGACUUACGGUGAUGCCUGAGGAGUUUUGAGAUCAAUCUUGAUCUUCAUAUGACUGUGACCGGGAGGCGAACCGGUUGCGCUUAGAGACAAUUGAUUAAUGGAGAUCCUCCAGCCACCGAGCUCGGAAAGGAAACCUAGGCGAGAAAUCCACGCUUGUCCAUACCGCUUGCCGUUUAGGCCGAGCAACUUCGUGAACUUCAACCCCAUCAUGUUGUAAGAACUAAUAGUUUACAAAAUAACUAAGUUUUUAGAUUGGAUAUUCUUCCA